Molecule: ribosomal RNA, 434 nt
Filed under: uncultured bacterium
Lineage: Bacteria
Description: partial 16S ribosomal RNA
Rfam family: Bacterial small subunit ribosomal RNA
Source: RNAcentral
AGCGAACGCUGGCGGCAUGCUUAACACAUGCAAGUCGCACGGAUCUUUCGGGAUCAGUGGCGGACGGGUGAGUAACGCGUAGGGAUCUAUCCAUGGGUGGGGGACAACUCCGGGAAACUGGAGCUAAUACCGCAUGAUACCUGAGGGUCAAAGGCGCAAGUCGCCUGUGGAGGAACCUGCGUUCGAUUAGCUAGUUGGUGGGGUAAAGGCCUACCAAGGCGAUGAUCGAUAGCUGGUUUGAGAGGAUGAUCAGCCACACUGGGACUGAGACACGCCCAGACUCCUACGGGAGGCAGCAGUGGGGAAUAUUGGACAAUGGGCGAAAGCCUGAUCCAGCAAUGCCGCGUGUGUGAAGAAGGUCUUCGGAUUGUAAAGCACUUUCGACGGGGACGAUGAUGACGGUACCCGUAGAAGAAGCCCCGGCUAACUUCGUG